RNAcentral lists this ribosomal RNA (168 nucleotides) under uncultured bacterium. RNAcentral describes it as "partial 16S ribosomal RNA". It matches the Rfam family "Bacterial small subunit ribosomal RNA", at positions 338 to 524 of the family's 1533-position model. The record is from RNAcentral.
CCUACGGAGGCAGCAGUAGGGAAUAUUGGACAAUGGGCGAAAGCCUGAUCCAGCAAUGCCGCGUGAGCGAUGAAGGCCUUAGGGUUGUAAAGCUCUUUUACCCGAGAUGAUAAUGACAGUAUCGGGAGAAUAAGCCCCGGCUAACUACGUGCCAGCAGCCGCGGUAAU